UGGGGAAUUUUGCACAAUGGGGGAAACCCUGAUGCAGCGACGCCGCGUGAUUUAGAAGGCCUUCGGGUUGUAAAAAUCUUUUGUAUGGGAAGAAAAUGACAGUACCAUACGAAUAAGGACCGGCUAAUUACGUGCCAGCAGCCGCGGUAAUACGUAAGGUCCGAGCGUUGUCCGGAAUCAUUGGGCGUAAAGGGUACGUAGGCGGAUAAGCAAGUUAGAAGUGAAAUCCUAUAGCUCAACUAUAGUAAGCUUUUAAAACAGCUCAUCUAGAGGUAUGGAAGGGAAAGUGGAAUUCCUAGUGUAGCGGUGAAAUGCGCAGAUAUUAGGAGGAAGACCGGUGGCGAAGGCGACUUUCUGGCCAUAUACUGACGCUGAGGUACGAAAGCGUGGGUAGCAAACAGG
RNAcentral lists this ribosomal RNA (402 nucleotides) under Verrucomicrobiota bacterium. RNAcentral describes it as "Verrucomicrobia bacterium partial 16S ribosomal RNA". It matches the Rfam family "Bacterial small subunit ribosomal RNA", at positions 355 to 776 of the family's 1533-position model. Lineage: Bacteria; Pseudomonadati; Verrucomicrobiota. The record is from RNAcentral.